CAGUCGCCGCGGUAAUACGGAGGGUGCAAGCGUUAAUCGGAAUUACUGGGCGUAAAGCGCACGCAGGCGGUCUGUCAAGUCGGAUGUGAAAUCCCCGGGCUCAACCUGGGAACUGCAUUCGAAACUGGCAGGCUAGAGUCUUGUAGAGGGGGGUAGAAUUCCAGGUGUAGCGGUGAAAUGCGUAGAGAUCUGGAGGAAUACCGGUGGCGAAGGCGGCCCCCUGGACAAAGACUGACGCUCAGGUGCGAAAGCGUGGGGAGCAAACAGGAUUAGAUACCCGAGUAGUCCCUGUCUCUUAUAA
Molecule: ribosomal RNA, 301 nt
Filed under: uncultured bacterium
Lineage: Bacteria
Description: partial 16S ribosomal RNA
Rfam family: Bacterial small subunit ribosomal RNA
Source: RNAcentral